URCCUUUUGCAUCAUGCUCAGAUGAGUUUAUGAAUAAUUGUUCUUUAACCGAAAGUUCUGGAUUUCUUUUCUAAUUGCUUAGCGUGUGUUUUCGGGUAGAAAGUAUAAAUUGGGAAAGUGAUGUGAAACAUUAAACGUCAGGGCUGAUAGCUGUUUAACAACUUGCAAAUUUGAAUUAUCUACAAGGUUAUAAGAUCUUGUGGAAUUAUAUAUUAACUGUUUUUUUGUUUUACAAUAGGGUUAAAAGUACCCGUUUGUUGUAAGAUUGUUCAAAACUUAAGAUUUAAUGGGGUAAAAUUAUGUAUAGUGGUUGUUUAAUAUAACUUUUAGAAAUUAAGAAUAUCUGAAUAAGUAAUAAAAUUAGAGUAAUUAUUUCUCAAGUAUUGCCCGUCUGUUUAUUAAAAACAUUUCCAUAUAAAAAUUUUUAUGGUAGGACCUGCUCUAUGCAUUAAUUUGUAAAUGGCCGCAGUAUUUUGACUGUGCGAAGGUAGCAUAAUUAAUUGCCUUAUAAUUGAAGGCUUGUUUGAAUGGUUUGACGUGGUGAUUAUAAAUAUUUAUUUUUUUGUUGAAUUUAGUUUGGAGUGCACAGAAACCUCCUGAUUUAAUUAGACGGAAAGACCCCAGGAUCUUUUAUUUUUGUCUGGGGCAGAUAAAAAUUUUUUAUUUUUAUUGAGACCCUUUAUGGUUUAGUGGUUUAAGUUACCCUGGGGAUAACAGUGUAAUAGUUUACUAGAGAUCUUAUCGAAUAAACUGUUUGCUACCUCGAUGUUGACUUAGGUAAAUAAGUUAGGCGCAGUAGUUUAAUUUUUUGGUCUGUU
This 818-nucleotide ribosomal RNA is filed under the name Ophiotaenia sp. PBI-520. RNAcentral's name for it is "partial 16S ribosomal RNA". The stretch from base 378 to 546 matches the Rfam family "Archaeal large subunit ribosomal RNA", at positions 1881 to 2094 of the family's 2987-position model. Lineage: Eukaryota; Metazoa; Platyhelminthes; Cestoda; Proteocephalidea; Proteocephalidae. The record is from RNAcentral.